Molecule: ribosomal RNA, 462 nt
Filed under: uncultured bacterium
Lineage: Bacteria
Description: partial 16S ribosomal RNA
Rfam family: Bacterial small subunit ribosomal RNA
Source: RNAcentral
AGUGAACGCUGGCGGCGUGCCUAAUACAUGCAAGUCGAACGGAGAUUAAGUAGCUUGCUAUUUAAUCUUAGUGGCGCACGGGUGAGUAAUAUAUAGCUAACUUGCCCAUUACUAAGGGACAACAGUUGGAAACGACUGCUAAUACCUUAUACUCCGUAUCUAUAUAAGUAGAUACGGGAAAGUUUUUCGGUAAUGGAUAGGGCUAUAUCGUAUCAGCUAGUUGGUAAGGUAAUGGCUUACCAAGGCUAUGACGCGUAACUGGUCCGAGAGGAUGAUCAGUCACACUGGAACUGAGACACGGUCCAGACUCCUACGGGAGGCAGCAGUAGGGAAUAUUGCUCAAUGGGGGAAACCCUGAAGCAGCAACGCCGCGUGGAGGAUGACACUUUUCGGAGCGUAAACUCCUUUUCUUGGGAAAGAAUUAUGACGGUACCCAAGGAAUAAGCACCGGCUAACUCCGUG